This 79-nucleotide transfer RNA is filed under the name Bacteroides thetaiotaomicron VPI-5482. RNAcentral's name for it is "tRNA-OTHER". Lineage: Bacteria; Pseudomonadati; Bacteroidota; Bacteroidia; Bacteroidales; Bacteroidaceae. The record is from RNAcentral.
GCCGAAGGCUUUGAAGGCUUUAGAGAGCACUAGCUUCCCAAGCUAAGGGUCACGAGUUCGAGUCUCGCUUACCGCUCCA